RNAcentral lists this ribosomal RNA (170 nucleotides) under uncultured bacterium. RNAcentral's name for it is "partial 16S ribosomal RNA". It matches the Rfam family "Bacterial small subunit ribosomal RNA", at positions 336 to 523 of the family's 1533-position model. The record is from RNAcentral.
CUCCUACGGGAGGCAGCAGUGGGGAAUAUUGGACAAUGGGCGAAAGCCUGAUCCAGCAAUGCCGCGUGAGUGAUGAAGGCCUUAGGGUUGUAAAGCUCUUUUACCCGGGAUGAUAAUAACAGUACCGGGAGAAUAAGCUCCGGCUAACUCCGUGCCAGCAGCCGCGGUAA